UGAGGAAUAUUGGUCAAUGGGCGCAAGCCUGAACCAGCCAUCCCGCGUGCAGGAAGACGGCCCUAUGGGUUGUAAACUGCUUUUCCAGGGGGAGAAUUUUUCUGUCGUGACAGGAAUUGACGGUACCCUGGGAAUAAGCAUCGGCUAACUCCGUGCCAGCAGCCGCGGUAAUACGGAGGAUGCGAGCGUUAUCCGGAUUUAUGGGUUUAAAGGUGCGUAGGCGGAUUGAUAAGUCAGUGGUGAAAACCUGCAGCUUAACUGUAGACUUGCCGUUGAUACUGUCAGUCUUGAGUGUGGUCAGGGUAGCGGAAUGUGUAAUGUAGCGGUGAAAUGCUUAGAUAUUACACAGAACACCGAUUGCGAAGGCAGCUUACUGGGCCAUUACUGACGCUGAUGCAC
RNAcentral lists this ribosomal RNA (399 nucleotides) under uncultured bacterium. Its description in RNAcentral is "bacterial SSU rRNA". It matches the Rfam family "Bacterial small subunit ribosomal RNA", at positions 355 to 754 of the family's 1533-position model. The record is from RNAcentral.